UAGAGUUUGAUCUCCGGCUCAGGAUGAACGCUGGCGGCGUGCUUAACACAUGCAAGUCGAACGGAGAUUACUUUUUAGCUUGCUAUUUUGUAAUCUUAGUGGCGGACGGGUGAGUAACGCGUGGGUAACCUGCCUUAUACAGGGGGAUAACAGUCGGAAACGACUGCUAAUACCGCAUAAGCGCACAGUAUCGCAUGAUACAGUGUGAAAAGAUUUAUCGGUAUAAGAUGGACCCGCGUCUGAUUAGCUAGUUGGUGAGGUAACGGCCCACCAAGGCGACGAUCAGUAGCCGGCCUGAGAGGGUGAACGGCCACAUUGGGACUGAGACACGGCCCAAACUCCUACGGGAGGCAGCAGUGGGGAAUAUUGCACAAUGGGGGAAACCCUGAUGCAGCGACGCCGCGUGAGUGAAGAAGUAUUUCGGUAUGUAAAGCUCUAUCAGCAGGAAGAAAAUGACGGUACCUGACUAAGAAGCCCCGGCUAACUACGUGCCAGCAGCCGCGGUAAUACGUA
Molecule: ribosomal RNA, 513 nt
Filed under: uncultured bacterium
Lineage: Bacteria
Description: bacterial SSU rRNA
Rfam family: Bacterial small subunit ribosomal RNA
Source: RNAcentral